UGGGCAACCUGCCCUCAGCACUGGGAUAACCCCGGGAAACCGGGGCUAAUACCGGAUACGACCUCGGCGGGCAUCCGCUGAGGUGGAAAGUGCAGUGGCUGAGGAUGGGCCCGCGGCCUAUCAGCUUGUUGGUGGGGUAACGGCCUACCAAGGCGACGACGGGUAGCCGGCCUGAGGGGGCGACCGGCCACACUGGGACUGAGACACGGCCCAGACUCCUACGGGAGGCA
Molecule: ribosomal RNA, 230 nt
Filed under: uncultured bacterium
Lineage: Bacteria
Description: partial 16S ribosomal RNA
Rfam family: Bacterial small subunit ribosomal RNA
Source: RNAcentral